GCAGGUCAAACAGUCGCUGCACGAGUCCGACAGCGAGCCCGGCGUCAGCCAGACGCACUUCACCAAGCCCUGCUCGUACACCAGGGAGCAGAUCAUUGAGAUGAUGGAGUUCCUCAUGCUGAGUCCCGCUCCGCUGUCCUGGGAGCCGGUGGAGCUCCUGCCCAGCUGUCCUGCGUUCCUCUGAUGCUGCACCUCAUCUCCUCCGCCUCCAGCUGGACCAACUACUCCGGCAGGAGCGACACGGUGCGAUACGUCCUGGACAUCCUGUCCGUCCUGAUGCUGGUUACCCGGGUCCAGCCGGUUCUGGGGGAACCGGUGGAGCCGUACGAGAGCCGGCGGGCCAUCGGCUCCGUGGGUCAGUGACCACCUCCAGGAGCGUCCUCUGUCAGCGUCUCUCUCUCUCUCUCUCUCUCGCUGAGCCCUUCCUCUCUCUGCUGCAGGUAUGAGCAUCGUUCU
RNAcentral lists this long non-coding RNA (456 nucleotides) under Salarias fasciatus (jewelled blenny). RNAcentral's name for it is "lncRNA (ENSSFAG00005008227.1)". Lineage: Eukaryota; Metazoa; Chordata; Actinopteri; Blenniiformes; Blenniidae. The record is from RNAcentral.